This 90-nucleotide transfer RNA is filed under the name Candidatus Adlerbacteria bacterium RIFOXYB1_FULL_48_10. Its description in RNAcentral is "tRNA-Ser". It matches the Rfam family "tRNA". Rfam says of the family: Transfer RNA (tRNA) molecules are approximately 80 nucleotides in length. Their secondary structure includes four short double-helical elements and three loops (D, anti-codon, and T loops). RNAcentral also lists the same sequence under 3 other names. Lineage: Bacteria; Candidatus Adleribacteriota. The record is from RNAcentral.
GGAGAGAUGGAUGAGUGGUUUAAAUCAACAGUUUACUAAACUGUCGACCCUUAAUUGGGUCCGCGAGUUCGAAUCUCGCUCUCUCCGCCA